UGCAUACCUUUGUGACACUGUUGUGAUCUACAUCUUGUGGAGAUGACAAUUGGUAGUCUAAGAGUAUGUUUGCUACUUCUGCAGCUGCCUGUAGUGGUUCAGUGCCUGUCAGUUUAGUUCUCAAUAAAGCCAAGGGAAAAAAACAAAGAGAAGCUCCAAGACUCACACUUUCAAACCUAGUGUCUGCUCUGAAAAGUGUUGAAAACAGAUGGAAUGAUUUGGGUGCUGAUCUGCGAUUCCCUGAAGCAGUAUUGCAAAGUAUCGAGAAGCAGAAUUGCUCCUCACUAGAGAGAUUAACAGCUGUUCUCAAGCAUUUUCUCCAACUACAUCCAUUUGCUUCUUGGCGAAGGAUCAUUCGAGCUCUUGAAAGGCUGGAAGAGAAUGGGAUAGUUAAGCACAUUAAAACUUAUUCUGAGCACAUUUUAGACCCAAGUCUUACUGUUGAGAAUGUUGCUAGAGUGAUUGCAGCUACCACUGAUGAUUGGGCAGAUGAUGUAUAUACUUAUCAUCUGGCAGGAGAGCUUAUGGUGCCAAUCACUAUACAAGAUAGAAUUAAGAAACAGUACUCCUCUGUUAAAGAUCAACAAACUUCUCUAGCCAAGUACUGGGUGAGAAUGCUUUUCAAUGCUUCAUGGUCUACUCUAGCUGGAGCAUUGCAUUUCCUGAAGGAAAAGGAAGCUCUUGCCAUUUGUGUGAAGGAUUACCUUGACAUUGAGAAUGAUGAAACCCUAACAAUGGAAAAUUUACUAGCCGCGUUUGAGGGUGUGACAAAAUGGGAUGAAAUUGGAUAUCGGCUAAGGGUACCUACAACCCAACAGAAUGAGAUUAGAUCAUCUUUUCAAACAGACGAUGAGAAAAAAGAAGCUAUUUUAAAUCAUUUUCUUCAACACAACCCAUCUCCCACCUGGAGAGAAGCUGCAUUAGCUUUGUAUAGAAUGAGGCACCAUGAUUUAGUCAAGACCCUAUACGAGAAGAAAUAUCUUAUUGCACCGGAGGAUCAAAGGCUACUGGACAUAUUCAAUUAUACAGUGAAGCAAAGAGGAUACUUAAAUCAGACUAUAAUGCAAGCAACGAUACAAGGAAAUGCCCGGUCUGGAAAGACGUCGUUAAUCAAGGUUCUACAGGGGAAACAUGCUUGCCCUGUUGAACCAAGUACUGCUGUAAUGGAAGAAUCAGCGCGUAUAGAGCUAAGCCAGUCUACUGUGCUUGUUGAAGGUAUUCUCUGGACUCCAAUCGAAGAUUUGCAUGAAGAAGCUAAUCUUGUUGUGCGUGAGGUGAUGACUGCUGAGCAGCUUCAAUCGAAUAAUGCCAAUGAAGAUGACGAAGACAAUAUUAUCAUUGCAGACACUAUUGGAGAAUCAGUUUAUCCUGGAGCAGUAACUUCUAUGGUUGACUCAGAAUUACCCACUAGGAAUACAACCAGCACUAUCAAAACCUUCAACAGUAGUCUCUUCACUGAAACAUUUGAGCAAGGUCAAGAUAAUUCUUCAAUAUUGAAUUUAUUCAAACUUUCCAUUAAGAAAGCAAAACUCGAAAUGACAAUGAUUAAGGACCCAUGGACUCUAUACAUUUCAGAUAUAGGUGGCCAGCUUGAAUUCCAAGAACUGGUGCCAGCACUAACAAAUGGCCCUAGCCUUCAUAUUAUAGUCAUUGCUGCUCACUGGGGUCUCAACAAUAAGUGUCCAAUUGAGUACUUACACAAAAAUGGACAGUCUGCCGUAUCAUAUAAAGCAAACUAUACGGUAAAAGAAAAUGUUCUGUUAACUCUGGCAACGAUAAUGUCUACAGGACAACAUAAGCAACUUCCUAAAGCAAUGUUUGUCAUUACGUUUAAAGAUUUGGUUACUGUAGAGGAACUACUUGUAAUGGAUGAAGAGCUACAAAGAACUGUGAAAUGCACUGAAGCAUACCGCUCUGGAGUGAUUGAGUUUGCCACAGAAUCACACUUGUGUCAUACCAUUAAUAAUUUAAUUCCAGAUACAGAUGACAUUGCAUGUAUCCGUAAAACUGUGGAAAGAAUAGGAAUGCGAAAUGAUGAUUACCAAGUUCGAACUCCCUACACUUGGCUUUGCUUUAGUCUUGCUCUACGCCGUAUAAAGAAUAGAGUGCUGCACUAUUCAACUUGUGUGGAAGCUGGAAAACAAUGUGGGAUUGAAUCGAUUGAAGAAUUGAAUGCUGCACUGAGAUUCCUGCAUUACAACAUUGGUGUAAUUCGGUACUUUAGUGAUGUUCCUGAAUUAUCAGACAUUGUUAUAAAAGAUCCCCAGAUGUUGUUUGACUGUGUUACAGAAUUGGUUCUCAAUACUUUCACUUUUGAUCGUGUUAAUUAUUCUACUAAAGAAGAUUUCGAGAAGAAAGGAUUGUUUCCAGUUGAAAUGGUUAGCAAAGUGUCUACCAAUUCAGAGCUUUUUACAAACCAAAAAUUGAUCGCUUUUCUGAUGUACCAUCACAUAAUUGCACCAUUGGAGGAAGAUGGUGAAACCGUAAAAUAUUUUUUGCCUUGCUCUCUUGUUCAUGCUGAAAUUUUUGAAAAUGAUGCUUCCUUUAAUGUACUCCCUCCAAUGGUGAUCAUUUUUGAUACUGGGUACACUCCACGCGGCAUUUUUGGAUUUUUAGUGAGUGAUAUUCUAACUGACAAGGGUCAUGAGAUACAAAUCGUGUUGGAUGUAGAUUGUAUUUAUCGUGACCAGCUAACAGUGUCUGUAGGUCCUUACGUAGACAAAUUUUACUUCUCCCUCCAUGCAACGUAUAUAAAGAUUGAUGUGCAGCCUUCGAAAAUCGAACGAAAAUUUCCCUUUGGAGAAAUUUGCUGCUAUGUUCGGAAUCGUGUGGUUGAAGCAUUGACUGACAUUGUUAGCAAGUUGAAUUACAAUUGUAAAGCCACUCACUCUUUAGCAUUCCUCUGUCCUGACAAAUGCCAUGGAGAACAAGUUCAUGCAGCAACCAUAUUGUUUUAUCGGGGGGAGAUGCAGGCUUUAAAGUGUAUCAUUAGCAAGAAUGCAAAGGCACUCCCAAAAGGUCAUGAAGUGUGGUUCAAUGAGGAUGUGUGUAUUUCUACGAGUAGAAAAAGACCAGCUUCAGAAGUUGCUUUACCAUGCUCCAAACGUGUUGAAUAUGACUACUCGGAAUUACAUUUAUCUUCAACCAAGUACUGGGACGGCCACAAAAGUACCUCAGAUUGUCUGACAGUUAGUCAGCUGCCUUUAUUACGGGUCUGCAUUUGGAGAGCCAGAGUGGAGUGGGAAAACAUAGGUACUGCUCUACACAUCGAUUCAUCUAUAUUGAAAGCAAUUGGAUUGAGGAACCAUUACAAACCUGAGGAAUGCUUCACUGAGGUCCUCUACUACUGGCUAUGUCAGGAGCCUCCACCUACCUUGAACGUCCUUAAGAAGUGUAUGAUGUCACUUUCUCUGAGAGAAAGUUGUCCUCGACUGGAUGAAGAUUUGGAGAGAAAUUUUAAUCAGUUUGAGCUUUCAUGCCCAGACACUUCUGCGAUGGAUGAAACGUUUCAACUUGCACCUAGCCAUCUGAAAAUCAUCGUCAAUACUGUUUGGAGGGCCAGAGUAAAAUGGUUUGACAUCGGCAUUUUUUUGCUGAAUGAUGUACCCGCCUUGGAAUGUAUCCGGACUAAGUGCCAUCAUGACCCAGACGAAUGUUUAAGAGAAAUGUUCAGCUGCUGGUUGCGUGGGGGUUGUGCAAAUCUUCGAGACCUCAAGAAUAGUGUGCAAUCACUGCCUGUGCGGGAGAAUUAUCCUGGUCUCGGAAGAGAUUUGGAAAAUGCUCUGCUGAAACAGCUAGAUCCUAGUGUUCCUCAGAAAACCAUCAGUAUGAGUCAAAUUUAUGUCAAUGAGCCUCCGACUAAUGGAAAGGACAUACGAACUCUAAUUUGACCUGUAUAUACUGGGGGAUUUGACCUGGCUUUGCGUAUAAUUAUACCUCUCCACCUCUUCUUGAGCGAAAGCAAAACAAGGGCAAGAGGCAUUAGCACAGCGCAGCUUGUACCACUCGUUGUUAAUUGUUUUAAUUUCCAUAAAUAAUUAUUAUUUGCUUUUUCGAUUUCAAUUUUUGUACCAAAUUUGAGCAGUGGUCUUUGUAGGAGCUAAAGAUUAAGAGCAGCCACGAUGUACUCACAAAGGACUCCAAACUCAGCGCUCAACCGGCUGUCAACCAAUCAGAAUUAAGGUGGUGAGGAGAAGUCUUCACGAAGGAGGCUGAAGCCCAAGAGGAAGUCGCACAAGCACAGCUCUGACAGGAAGCAUGAGAAACACCAGCACAAAUCGUCCAACAAGAAGAAGAAGAAACACUCCUCACAUACAUAAUCAUUGACUUUACCGCUGUUCGUAUAGUACAGUCACAUACCUUGGUAUAAUUUUAAAUUACUCAAUCUGUGAUUAUAAGUUUAUAAUAAUUAUACCCACUCCAAUCCUAUAUCCACUGAACUGUCUGAUCAUGGAAUUGGCAUGACUCUGAGUCAAUAAUAUACAAUACAAGUAUAAUUAUAGUUUUAAGGGUACAUCGUAAUAUAUCCCAUGAUCUCCCAUGCCCCGACUUAAUAAUUCACACUCUUUUAUUCUUGACAAUUUUAUUUACUUGUGUCGCAUAUAUUAUUCAAUC
This is an RNA transcript of Halichondria panicea, 4614 nucleotides long. RefSeq lists it as uncharacterized. The transcript has 15 exons. The record is from RefSeq and is a predicted model, not a curated record. Lineage: Eukaryota; Metazoa; Porifera; Demospongiae; Suberitida; Halichondriidae.